ACGCUGGAGAUCGAAAACCAAACACACACUUUGGACUGCGUGAUCAAUGCAGGACAUUUAGCCUGAGCUGUGUAUUCACUAGGAACCAAACAGAAGUCAACGGGACCAAACCGGACCAAACUGGACCAAAGGGGAACAAACAGCAGUGUUUUAUAGUAAAUACGUAAUAUACAUUUUAAGUACUACUUUAGUACUUUUGUUUUUGGGUAUCUGUACUUUACUUUACUAUGUAACAUUUUUGACAACUUUUACUUUUAAAUCCACUACAAAUGUAUUUUUUUUUCCGUACAUUUUUCCCUGACACCUAAAAGUGUCAUUUACAUUUCGAACACUCGGGGAGGACAGAAUCAUGGCACCUGUCAGGAAAACACCUGGUCGUCCCUACGGCCUCUGAUCUGGCGGACUCACGAAACACAACUACUGUGUUCGUAAAUGAUGUCAGAGUGUUGGAGUGUGGCCCCUGUCAGUCCGUAGUUAAAAAUAUUACGAAAAUAAUGCCGUCUGGUUUACUUAAUAUCAGGAAUUUGAUGAAUAGCUUUUACUUUGUACUUUUACUCAAGUAUGACGAUUGAUUACUUUUUCUACCACUUUACCACUGUAGAUUUAAAGCCAAGUAGUAUUUUCUCAAGUAGUAUUUUACUGGUUGACUUUUACUUGAGUCAUUUUCUGUUAAGCUGUCUUUACUUUUACUCAAGUAUGACAAUCGAGUACUUUUUCCACCACUGCCAAACGGGACCAAACAGGACCAAACGGGGCCAAGUGGGACCAAACGGGGCCAAACGGGGCCAAACAGGGCCAAACGGGACCAAGUGGGACCAAACGGGGCCAAGUGGGACCAAACGGGCCCAAGUGGGACCAAACGGGACCAAACGGGGCCAAACGAGGCCAAACGAGGAGAGACCUACAUGACCUACAUUUGUCAAAUAAGAAAUUCUUGUUUUUGUUGCAAAAUGUUUUCAGUUGGGAAGCGUUUUGUUAUGAUUUUAUACAGUGUGCACUAUUGACUACACCCCAGGACUGCCCAGGUAGAAUUGGUUCAUACUCUUUCUGUUUAAAAGGAGGAAACACGUUGUUUUUGGACUUGUGUUGAAAGACUGCAGUUGGAUUUGGUCAUAGUUAUCAUUCUGCCAGUAAAAUGGCAACAAAGAACUGGUUGAGUAAGCAGGUAUUACCUCCGCAACCUGAUCAAUCAUUCACAAAACACUGUUCUGUUGUCCAUUAUCCAAGAGUUCCAACUAAGAUAUUGGUCUUCAGACAAACAAAGAUAUUAUUUUGUUUUAUUGGAGCAGCAGUAGACUCUGUUGGAAACCAAACCAAUGUAAACACCUGAGGAGCGCCCCCUUGUGGAGACAGCUUCAAACUACAUAUGAGCCCUUUACAAGGUGAAAGGUGGAUACCUCGUCAGUUCUACAACUGAAUGCAUUCAAUUGAAUUGUGUCUUCAGCAUUUAACACAACAGGGACUAAGGUGACAUUUCAGGUGUGUCAAUGAUCAAUAGACAGACAGCCAGACAGCCAGAGAGACCAACAUAGACACACACAGGUCAAUCCUGGUGCACAUUUUGUUUCGGCUCUACACUACACACCUGAUUUGAAAUCAAAGGCUUGAUGAAGAAAAGCAGGUGUUUAGCACCCAUUAGAGCCUGGUUCCUCUCUAGGUUUCUUCCUAGGUUCCUUCCUUUCUAGGGAGUUUUUCCCCCAUUAGAGCCUGGUUCCUCUCUAGGUUUCUUCCUAGGUUCCAGCCUUUCUAAGGAGUUUUUCCUAGCCACCGUUCUUCCACAUCUGCAUCUGCACUGGUUUCUGUAUAAGCACGUUGUGACAUCUGCUGAUGUAAAAAGGGCUUUGUAAAUACAUUUGAUUUGAUACAGUGCUCUACUUUUGAUCGGGGCCCAUGGUGCUCUGUAGAAGAACACUCAGGGAAAGGGCGCCAUCUUGAAAGCAGGCCACCGUUUAGUGUUCAGGCCUUCAUUAUUUAUUAUAGAUCACUUACUUAUAGAUUAUUGAUCACGUUUUACUGGAAACCGGAGAUUCUGACAAAGUUUUUCACACACACACACACACACACACACACACACACACACACACACACACACACACACACACACACACACACACACACACACACACACACACACACACACACACGUAACCGGUGUGAAAUGCUAGUUAGCGGUGUGCUCCAGUAGAGUUUCAAUCGGGGCCGUCACUCGCUCUGAGACCUUGAAUUUGUUGUUUCCUUUGCUCUCUCUGCGAAGGCCGUAGCUUUCGUGAAACGACAGGUAAACAUGCUUCGUGGAAGGCAGUUUAUGUGUUAAGAGGAUCCUCGGUUUAAUCUCAGAAUGGGGUGGCUAAUACUGGAGGCAACACUGUAAACUUCUAAUAUGCGAUUCAACAGUAUUUCAAUUCAAGGGGCUUUGUUGCCAUGGGACACCUAUGUUUACAUUACCAAAGCAAGGGGAAAUAGAUACUAAACAAAACAGAUAAUAAACAUUGAUAUCUUUGUCUUGUCUUUCACUCAUGUUGUACAUUUAUUGCCAUAAUAAAAUAACGUGUCCUAUUUUCACACUA
Long non-coding RNA from Oncorhynchus masou masou (cherry salmon), 2567 nucleotides. RefSeq lists it as uncharacterized. The transcript is spliced from 2 exons. The record is from RefSeq and is a predicted model, not a curated record. Lineage: Eukaryota; Metazoa; Chordata; Actinopteri; Salmoniformes; Salmonidae.